RNAcentral lists this ribosomal RNA (460 nucleotides) under uncultured bacterium. Its description in RNAcentral is "bacterial SSU rRNA". It matches the Rfam family "Bacterial small subunit ribosomal RNA", at positions 923 to 1379 of the family's 1533-position model. The record is from RNAcentral.
GCACAAGCGGUGGAGCAUGUGGUUUAAUUCGAUGCAACGCGAAGAACCUUACCUGGGUUUGACAUGUCGGUGGUAAGAAACCGAAAGGGGCCUGACCCCGCAAGGGGAGCCGACACAGGUGCUGCAUGGCUGUCGUCAGCUCGUGUCGUGAGAUGUUGGGUUAAGUCCCGCAACGAGCGCAACCCUCGCCCCUAGUUGCCAACGGGUCAUGCCGGGAACUCUAGGGGGACUGCCCCGGUUAACGGGGAGGAAGGUGGGGAUGACGUCAAGUCAUCAUGGCCUUUAUGUCCAGGGCUACACACGUGCUACAAUGGCCGGUACAAAGGGUCGCAAACGCGCGAGCGGAAGCUAAUCCCAAAAAGCCGGUCCCAGUUGGGAUCGCAGUCUGCAACUCGACUGCGUGAACGCGGAAUCGCUAGUAAUCGCGAAUCAGCAGGUCGCGGUGAAUACGUUCCCGGGC